GUGAAUGAUAGAGGUGCGGUGAAUAAAGAGUACGUAUUGUGAGGUAGCCAAACAAUGACCAAUACGGAAAGGAAUUCCCGCCGAAGUCUAGGUUCAGGGCAAUGAAUCUUAGGCUGGGCUUGCAGUGAAAAAGUGCAAGACUGUCACCGGAAAUUGGUGGAGUGCUAUCUCGUCC
RNAcentral lists this non-coding RNA (175 nucleotides) under Desulfitobacterium metallireducens. RNAcentral's name for it is "Lysine sequence". It matches the Rfam family "Lysine riboswitch aptamer". Rfam says of the family: Riboswitches are metabolite binding domains within certain messenger RNAs that serve as precision sensors for their corresponding targets. Allosteric rearrangement of mRNA structure is mediated by ligand binding, and this results in modulation of gene expression. Lineage: Bacteria; Bacillati; Bacillota; Clostridia; Eubacteriales; Desulfitobacteriaceae. RNAcentral also lists the same sequence under 1 other name. The record is from RNAcentral.